RNAcentral lists this long non-coding RNA (923 nucleotides) under Nicotiana benthamiana. Its description in RNAcentral is "long non-coding RNA (NBEN_LNC039695)". Lineage: Eukaryota; Viridiplantae; Streptophyta; Magnoliopsida; Solanales; Solanaceae. The record is from RNAcentral.
UUACAUUAAAACAAUACGCAAGAUCAUGGAUCAUAAAUCAGUGUUUAAAAUCUGUCACUUUUGUUUCCCAACACAUUGAAAGACCGCAGAUGGCAUUGGGUGCAGCAGUAACAAACUCUUUUACUAAAUAUUUCCACAGAAGAACUUUAAAUAUGUUCACAAUAGUGUAGCUACACCAAAAUCGAACUUUGUUUGCAGAUAGCUCAUGAUAUAAAAAAAUCAACAACGACCAUUUAAAACUCAUCAUGGGAGCAGACGAUUUCAGAUUUUUAUUCAAACUUAACGUCAGAUAUAAAGAAGACCUUUAUCAAACACAUAGGUGAACAACUAUUGCAGAUUUCGUAACAUUAUAGCAUCCCAACGAUAACUACAUUACCCGAGAUUGAAAUUGGUACCUCAACAGCAAUACAAACUGCAAUUAGCCAAAUAAAGGCGAGAGAUAAAGAGCAGGCACAUCAAUCCAAUAAAACAACCCAACUAGCUCCAACUAUGGACUACAUUCAGUUUGAAAACCCAGGAAAGCGAUGUAGGAGAUCUCUUUGGAUCGACAAACACAAACUAAUUGUUUUUUAGUGUAGAAAUCAACUCUUACUCUAUUUUUUUGAAGCUGGAAAUUUCAGAUCUUAGAAAGGAAAUUUUUGAAUUUCAAAAUCUGUUUUCAGAUGUUUCUCGCACGUGUGUGUCAAGAUGUGUUGUGUGAUUUUGUGAAGGGAUCUCAAAAUCAGAGAGGAGGUCGCUGAUUUUAAUGGAAAAUGGAGGAGAAACUUUUUCAGCUCUCCAAAUGUGCCGCCUCUGUAUAUUUUCGGAGAGGAAGGUCCCAAAAAUCUCAUCUCCUCCUUUUUAGGUGUAGGUCUCCUUAGGUUUUAAUAAAAGUAGUCUUGGGUCAAACCGGGUCGGAUCAGGAGGGGUAUUGGCUUGGGUCA